RNAcentral lists this ribosomal RNA (500 nucleotides) under uncultured bacterium. Its description in RNAcentral is "partial 16S ribosomal RNA". It matches the Rfam family "Bacterial small subunit ribosomal RNA", at positions 30 to 523 of the family's 1533-position model. The record is from RNAcentral.
AUUGAACGCUGGCGGCAUGCCUUACACAUGCAAGUCGAACGGCAGCCCGGGAGCAAUCCUGGUGGCGAGUGGCGAACGGGUGAGUAAUAUAUCGGAACGUGCCCAGUCGUGGGGGAUAACGCAGCGAAAGCUGUGCUAAUACCGCAUACGAUCUAAGGAUGAAAGCGGGGGAUCGCAAGCCCUCGCGCGAUUGGAGCGGCCGAUAUCAGAUUAGCUAGUUGGUGGGGUAAAGGCCCACCAAGGCGACGAUCUGUAGCUGGUCUGAGAGGACGACCUGCUACACUGGAACUGAGACACGGUCCAGACUCCUACGGGAGGCAGCAGUGGGGAAUUUUGGACAAUGGGCGCAAGCCUGAUCCAGCAAUGCCGCGUGCAGGAUGAAGGCCUUCGGGUUGUAAACUGCUUUUGUACAGAACGAAACGGCCCUUUCUAAUACAGGGGGCUAAUGACGGUACCGUAAGAAUAAGCACCGGCUAACUACGUGCCAGCCGCCGCGGUAA